GAUGAAGAACGUAGCGAAAUGCGAUAAGUAGUGUGAAUUGCAGAAUUCAGUGAAUCAUCGAAUCUUUGAACGCACAUUGCGCCCCUUGGUACUCCAUGGGGCACGCCUGUUCGAGCGUCAUUUACACCCUCAAGCUCAGCUUGGUGUUGGGCGUCUGUCCCGCUUCGUGCGCGGACUCGCCUCAAAUGCAUUGGCAGCGGUCUUGCCAGCUUCUCGCGCAGCACAUUGCGCUUCUAGAGGCUUUGGCGGAUCGGCGUCCAUCAAGUACACCCACAGUUUGACCUCGGAUCAGGUAGGGAUACCCGCUGAACUUAAGCAUAUCAAUAAGCGGAGGA
RNAcentral lists this unclassified non-coding RNA (335 nucleotides) under soil metagenome. RNAcentral's name for it is "partial contains 5.8S ribosomal RNA, internal transcribed spacer 2, and large subunit ribosomal RNA". The stretch from base 1 to 120 matches the Rfam family "5.8S ribosomal RNA", at positions 35 to 154 of the family's 154-position model. The record is from RNAcentral.